UUCUGUCAAGAACAAGCAGUAAAUGCAUUAAUGUAGUAAUUGCAGCAUAAGUUAAAAAAAUAUUAAAUUCCCUCUUGAGUGAACAUUGGAAGGAUUGUUUUCUCUUUUUUUUCUUCGAUCAGAACGUCUAUGUUUGCCUUCCACAACUUGACCACCCCCUUCUCCAGGACAUCUAGUGUUCUAGUGUCAGAUGCUGACUUCAGUCAGAACUGUCCAGGCGCCAAGCAAUGUUGUAAUGGUAGCUCAGAACACAAAGAAUGUCGGUGUGACAAUUGAUGUUUCUCUGUUCCUCCCUACACACACCCACCUCCAGGAUGGGUCAGAGUUGGAAGGUCCUGGGCUGGCCUUCAGGAAGCUGGGGACAAGUGGCAGUGGUUGUAGUUCUGGUUGUGACUGGAAGUUGACAAUGUGCUACAACUCCGCACUCCACAUGGUCACCGCAGCUGGAGAUCUUGGCAUCAGAGUGUCAUGUUCUUGACAUCUCUGAUGAAGUAAAAUAAAACCAUUGUAGAUAAUGACACAUACCUACAUUGUAUAAAACCUACAAGCAGUUAGUUCACUUCGGAGUAGGUCUGCUUUUUACUAAACAAGUCUAUUCGGGAUCAAAUAAUGAAGAGUUGAAUUGUUUGCUGUCUUUCUAAACAUUUUCCAACAUUCAAAAUCACCAUGAAAGACAAUAAUUCAAUACAUUUCCUGGUUCUGUGCCCACCCAGGCUAUAUUUUCACAGAAUUUUGCUGGUAUCUCGCUAGAAAAGCAGUCUUAACUCGUCCCAAGAAUUGUUCUCAAAAUCUUUUGCCUUAAACCAUUUAAAUGCCUUGGUGUACCUUGGUUCACCUUUCCUGACUCCACCACCCCAAUCUCCAGGACAUGCGAUAGUUUGAAGGGAAGGAGGUGACUUGAUUGUGAAGGUUUAGUUCUUUCUUUGUCCACAUUUAGAACAAGAUUGUUUACCUCUCUGAACUCACAUACCCCCAUCUCCAGGACAUGCGAUAGUUUGCAAGCCAGGAGGUGACUUGAUUGUGAAGGUUUAUUUCUUUCUUUGCCCUCAUUUAGAACAAGAUUGUUCACCUUUCCUGACUCCACCACCCCCAUCUCCAGGAUAUACGGUAGUUUCAAAGUCAGGAGGUGACUUUAUUCCGAAGGUUUGGCCUUUCAUUGCCCACAUUUAGAACAAAAUUGUUCACCUUUCCUUACUCCACCACCCCCUAUCUCCAGGACAAGCCAUAGUUUGAAGGGAAGGAGGUGACUUGACUCGACGGUAGUCGUAGAGGCGAGCUUUCCUGGAUAGUGAAUGGUCCUCUGUAUACAGUGCGGUCCAAGGGAGGGCAAGCAAGUUCCAUCUGUCGUGGAGAAAGCUUCUUUCCAUGUGAGGGACUUGUCCUUGCAGGUCCUCCUCCAGGGUCACUGUCGCGAAUUCCCACUGGAGGAGUCCCUCGUCCACACUUAUGGUCUCCCGUAUAUAUACGAAAAAGCAUUAAUACAUAUAAAAACAGGACACUUCAGCUCUGAAGUCAUCCUGUGAAACAAUACUAUGUGGACAGUCCGUCCUAUACUAUGUCCUAGCAAUCUUGGACUACUUACACACUACAGUCCUAUAAGAAGUAUGAAGUACUAACUUAUAAUAUUCAGUGUAUGCUUUCAUGUCUUUACUGAGAUUUCUCCAGUGUGUGAGACUCUCGUUCGGCCUUCUGUGUACAUCCAUCUGUCAUAGAGAUGUGUGGGUUCCACCAAACUCUUGAUAUUUGGACCUAUUGCCCUUUCCAGAUAAAUCAGGCAAUUUAUAUUGAAAUAUAUGAACCCAUUUGUUCUGCGAAAUGUCGAAACGUGACAUAUGUACAAAUACAACUCCUCAUGGAAGGCGUAUUUCUGUAUGCACAGAGUGAACUUGAUUCUUGAUACUUGCAAGUGCCAUCAGCAUAAAUAAGACCCAUAUUGGUCAAAGAAGAAUCCUGGAUUCUAAAAUUCAAAGAAAUACGUACAUAAACAAAAAUAUUACCUUGAAAUAAAAUAUGACCUAUCAUCAAUGUUUUGUAGAAAAUGUUUCUUUGCAUUGUGAAACCUGGUUACUGUCCGACUGCCUUCUUCUCGAGUCUCUACCCGCAAGUAGUAACGGACUGUAUCUUUUAAGUAAGAUAACAAUCGUCACAAGCAGGGGACGGCAACCUCACACUAGUAAAAGUGCAAGUAGUCAACAUUCAACAAUAGUAAAAGUGCAAGUAGUCAACAUUCAACAAUAGUAAAAGUGCAAGUAGUCAACAUUCAACAAUAGUAAAAGUGCAAGUAGUCAACAUUCAACAAUAGUAAAAGUGCAAGUAGUCAACAUUCAACAAUGGUAAAAACUCAAUACCAACAUGUAUGAUCACAACAUUUCCUUAUCAAUCAUAGAUUUGUGUCCCACCAAAGUUUCUGAACGGCCCACCAGUCAGUCGAGUAAACGUAUUUGUCCUUAUUGAAUUUCUCUACCUCGUCAAAAAUUAUGACUUUGUCCUCUGCGGAUUGUUCUAGAUCUGUGUACCAGAGAAUCUUAUUAAAAACACUGACAAAAGCCGUUGAUGACAUAUACAGGUGAGCUACAGGUGCAGGUGAGCUACAGUGCGCAACUUUUACUCCUGGGAGUGAAGACAUGUUAUUGUCUCCUCCAAACAUCACAUCUGUUUACAUGGUUGUAGAAACUGAGGUUUGACCAUCAAAAUGCUAAAUAGUCAAUAAUGGGUCAGUGUCUGUGGUCAUCCAAAACAUGAGUUAGAUGACAAAAACAUGGCCAACAGAAUGGUUGCUGAACAUAGGGCUGAUAUCUUGAAACACAUUCAUCAAACAACUGCACAAACAAUGGCCAUACAUCAGUGGUACUAAAACCAUCAUGCACAGCUACCAGAGCGCGGGGCUCACAAUGUGACUUCAUUCCUAUAAGGGAAUAUUGCCGAGUGUGGCAAUUAACAAACAAACAAACAAACAAACAAACA
Long non-coding RNA from Haliotis rufescens (red abalone), 2964 nucleotides. RefSeq lists it as uncharacterized. NCBI's taxonomy places the organism in Eukaryota, Metazoa, Mollusca, Gastropoda, Lepetellida, Haliotidae. The record is from RefSeq and is a predicted model, not a curated record. The transcript is spliced from 2 exons.